This 498-nucleotide ribosomal RNA is filed under the name uncultured bacterium. RNAcentral's name for it is "bacterial SSU rRNA". It matches the Rfam family "Bacterial small subunit ribosomal RNA", at positions 899 to 1397 of the family's 1533-position model. The record is from RNAcentral.
ACUCAAAGGAAUUGACGGGGGCCCGCACAAGCGGAGGAGCAUGUGGUUUAAUUCGAUGAUACGCGAGGAACCUUACCUGGGCUAGAACCGGCACUGACUGUUUGUGAAAGCAGACAUCCCUUCGGGGCAGUGUUGGAGGUGCUGCAUGGUUGUCGUCAGCUCGUGCCGUGAGGUGUCGGAUUAAGUUCCAUAACGAGCGCAACCCCUACUGUUAGUUGCCAGCAUGUAAUGAUGGGGACUCUAGCAGGACUGCCGGCGCAAGCCGAGAGGAAGGUGGGGAUGACGUCAAAUCAGCACGGCCCUUAUGUCCAGGGCUACACACGUGCUACAAUGGCCGAUACAGAGGGCAGCUACUUGGCAACAAGAUGCGAAUCUCGAAAAUCGGUCUCAGUUCGGAUCGAAGUCUGCAACUCGACUUCGUGAAGUUGGAUUCGCUAGUAAUCGCGCAUCAGCCAUGGCGCGGUGAAUACGUUCCCGGGCCUUGCACACACCGCCCGU